Caenorhabditis elegans is the source of this 21-nucleotide non-coding RNA. The record is from Ensembl. NCBI's taxonomy places the organism in Eukaryota, Metazoa, Nematoda, Chromadorea, Rhabditida, Rhabditidae.
UGAUUUGUAUCUAAACUUGCA